AGCUCAUUUGCCCCUUCCACUAUGUGAAGACACAGCGAGGGGAUACAAUCUAUGAUCCAGAGAGAGGGCCUUCACCACAUACUCGACCUACCGAUGCCUUGAUCUUGGACUUCUCAGCUUCCAGAACUACAAUCAAUGUUUACUGUUUAAAUGAACAAAUGUGUGAAAGAUGAUUGCCUCGAUUCACCUUUCCAGUAGUAAGAGCCACGGAUGGCUGCAUGAUCUCCUCUAUCUCAGUAGGUGUAGCACAUGUGAACUUACCUGCCAGGCCUGGAUCCAUAAUGAUGCCGGUGAAGGGUGAUUAGCCAAAAUGAAAAAGGAGAAUAAGGCAAAAUAGAACCAGAGAGAAUGACAGUUAAUGACAACAAGCCGACUACGUGGGAGGAAAGAAGAUUUUGGAAACCAGUUGAAGAAAUCUGCUGCCUCCCUGGAGAUGUUUGCCCACAGUUUUAUUUCAUCAUCAACUGUAGAUCCUUUUGAUUUUGAAGCAUACUGAUUCCAGGAUCUGCUAAAAAUAAAUAUUUGCCUUAUUAA
Molecule: non-coding RNA, 534 nt
Organism: Macaca mulatta (Rhesus monkey)
Lineage: Eukaryota; Metazoa; Chordata; Mammalia; Primates; Cercopithecidae
Source: RefSeq, a predicted model, not a curated record